RNAcentral lists this ribosomal RNA (253 nucleotides) under uncultured bacterium. RNAcentral describes it as "partial 16S ribosomal RNA". It matches the Rfam family "Bacterial small subunit ribosomal RNA", at positions 524 to 776 of the family's 1533-position model. The record is from RNAcentral.
UACAGAGGUCCCAAGCGUUGUUCGGAUUCACUGGGCGUAAAGGGCGCGUAGGCGGUCGGGUAAGUCUGAUGUGAAAUCUCACAGCUUAACUGUGAAACUGCAUUGGAUACUAUUCGGCUUGAGAGUUGGAGGGGGGACUGGAAUUCUCGGUGUAGCAGUGAAAUGCGUAGAUAUCGAGAGGAACACCAGUGGCGAAGGCGAGUCCCUGGUCGAAUACUGACGUUCAUGUGCGAAAGCGUGGGGAGCAAACAGG